This 351-nucleotide long non-coding RNA is filed under the name Schizosaccharomyces pombe (fission yeast). Its description in RNAcentral is "non-coding RNA, poly(A)-bearing". Lineage: Eukaryota; Fungi; Ascomycota; Schizosaccharomycetes; Schizosaccharomycetales; Schizosaccharomycetaceae. The record is from RNAcentral.
AAUAUCCUUGUAACGCGUGGCGCGCUGGUAUUCUGUAUUCCGGAUUCCGGAUUGUCCCUUGUACGUCAGUGCAGUACUGCGCAGUGUAGUGGCAUGCGGCAAGCGGCAAGGUCGGCGUUUUGCAUGGAAAGGAAGGAAUCAACAAUAAAUUGAAUGGAAAGCAAGGAGAUGGAGAAGUUUUGUAAUUCCAAUGCCAAACAUAUGCUUUUCUAAUGUGAAAAUGUGAAAAAGAUGAGAGAGGAAACGAGGACGAUAUGGGUAUUUUGGUGCGGUUAUCGCUGUUGAUUAUGGAAUAGACGGCUUCUUAAGCAACUUUUAGAACCGAAAACAAGCGGAUGAGAUUAUUACUCA